This 858-nucleotide long non-coding RNA is filed under the name Phoenix dactylifera (date palm). Its description in RNAcentral is "long non-coding RNA (PDAC_LNC003238)". Lineage: Eukaryota; Viridiplantae; Streptophyta; Magnoliopsida; Arecales; Arecaceae. The record is from RNAcentral.
GUGUCGCCCCUCUCCUCUCAUUAAAAGCACCACGAAGCGCGCGGAGCGUCGACACAAUUUAAGUCUCCCUGGCCCCCACCACUGCAAUAAAAGCAACUACUUCCUACGUCCGAGCUCGCGAACAGCUCGAACUCGGAAGUCGGGGGAGUGUUGGAGGAAAAUAAACCGCCCCAAAGUACGUAAGCAGGCCACCAGCACAUAGUCGGAGGUGCCCGACCUAGAAGGCGCCCGAUCUGGAGGGCGCCCGACCUGGAGGACGCCCGACCUGGAGGACGCCCGACUUGGAAAGCGCCCGAUCCCGAUCUCGGAAGGCAUCUGAUCCCGGAAGCCGGAUCUCGCCGACUGUCCGCUGCGGUCACAUCCUCCUACGGCCCGAUUUGGGACCACGCCUUGAGCGGCUUACUCAACAGUUAAUGCGCAUGGCCUCUGCAGACCUCCGGCUUACUUAACAAUUAAUGCACAUGGCCUCUGCAGACCUACGGCUUACUCAACGAUUAAUGCGCAUGGUCUCUGCAAACCUCCAGCUUACUCAACAAUUAAUGUGCAUGGUCUCUGUUACCUACGGAUCUCUAGUCCUCCACGGCAAAUCAGUUCGGCUGCAUCCAGUCAGCCGUGACAACUCCCUGAUUCUGACCUCAUCCCCUACGGCAAGGCAUGAAUUCGCAUGAUCGUGCAUCAAUUCAUGCGACGUGCUCGGUUGUACGGCAACCUCGCCCCAUCACAUCACAGGUAACCCAGCGCCCCUCUAUAAAAGGAGAAUCCUCCUACCUUAGAGGGGGCUGGAUGCUGAAACUCUGGACAUAUUUUCCUCCAUACAUCCUUCCCCCCUCUGACUUAGACAUCGUAGGGCCGGCGCCG